Molecule: ribosomal RNA, 427 nt
Filed under: uncultured bacterium
Lineage: Bacteria
Description: partial 16S ribosomal RNA
Rfam family: Bacterial small subunit ribosomal RNA
Source: RNAcentral
GUGGGGAAUAUUGGGCAAUGGGGGCAACCCUGACCCAGCGACGCCACGUGAGGGAAGAAGGCCUUAGGGUCGUAAACCUCUGUUGUGUGGGAAGAAGGAAGUGACGGUACCACACGAGGAAGUCCCGGCUAACUACGUGCCAGCAGCCGCGGUAAUACGUAGGGGACGAGCGUUGUCCGGAAUUACUGGGCGUAAAGGGCGCGUAGGCGGUCAUUUAAGUCAGCUGUGAAAUGGUCCGGCUCAACCGGAUCAUGCGGUUGAAACUGGAUGACUGGAGUGCUGGAGAGGCAAGUGGAAUUCCCAGUGUAGCGGUGAAAUGCGUAGAUAUUGGGAAGAACACCGGUGGCGAAGGCGACUUGCUGGCCAGCAACUGACGCUGAGGCGCGAAAGCCAGGGGAGCAAACGGGAUUAGAUACCCGAGUAGUCC